RNAcentral lists this long non-coding RNA (3606 nucleotides) under Oncorhynchus kisutch (coho salmon). Its description in RNAcentral is "lncRNA (ENSOKIG00005000008.1)". The record is from RNAcentral. Lineage: Eukaryota; Metazoa; Chordata; Actinopteri; Salmoniformes; Salmonidae.
AUGGCAGCUCGUGUGGACGUGGCCUCUGGUGAGGUGGGCCAAGCAGGAGAUGCAGGUAUCAAGCCUGAGCUAGGCCCCAAACCCUGCCUGAUUCCCAAACCCUUUUCACUGCAGAGGAACACCACAUUCCGCUCCAUCAUAGCCCCAAAGACACUCACAAUGACUCCACAGCCAUCUCAGGCCACGUCCACUACCUCCAGCAAACCAGAGCCUUGUCAGCCUAUUAGUGCCCCUGUGUCUGACUCAAGCAGCAUUGUGAAACUCGAUGCAGAGAGCACCACGAUACCUGAACUGACCAAUGCUCUCGAAGUUCCUUCAGCCAUAACACCCCAAACUGAAUCGACCCACACUACUGAACAAAACCAAACGGCUCUUUCCACAUCCCUUACUACCCCAGAAUCUGAGCCACCAGCUAGUACCACAUCUGACCCAACUGGAACCUCAGAUGUAAAUCAAGUCAGUCUUUCUGAACUGGACGAACAUGGCCCCUCUGAUACAGGCCACUCCGCCACUGGAACUGAGCCUGUACCAUCACCAUCAGUCACCUCAACUCCUCUUCAACCGCAGUCUGAAAACACUGUGAGUGAGCCCACCCCUGCGGUCGUCAGGCGCCACGCUGGGAAGGAUCAGGCAGCCCACUUGGGAGGAGGCAGGAAGCGGCUGUCCAUGGAGCUCACCUCCAGGUUUGAGUCUGCUGGCCUCUCACUCCCCUCACAGCCACCAGCUAACCAGGAACGGGAACAGGUGACCAUGAGAGAGACUGCAGUCCCCAAAGUGUCAGUCCUCGGGGCAAAAGAGGAAGAGAAGGUCACUGAUUCACCAGGGUCACCGUCUGAACCAGAGUGCAGACUCAAGCACUCAACGCCACUGAAGGAAGAGAGGGAUGGAGAAGGGGUAAAGGAGGAAGGAGAAAAGAAAGGGAACAGCAUACAACGGAGGAUCAGUCUGCUGCUGGACUCCUCUUCGAGACCAGAGGCUCUGACCAAUAGGGAGGAAGUACCUCGUCCAUUGAAACAAGCAGUUAGUUCUGGUGGUGUGAAACAGCGGAUCAAAGAAUGGGCAGCAGACACACCUCCUGUUCAGGCAUCCAAUCAGAGGGUGGAUGUUGCCCCUCAACCAUUCCCUGUCAGAGUUCACCCUGUGUUGAGUGUCACUGGGGGGUCGUUGGCGACGAGCAAAAGCGUUCAGCUAGCUCCUCGAGAGGACAAGGCUUCCACCCUACUUCACGCUGGACAUUCUGGGAUAGAAGAUGAGGAGGAGGAGGAUGAAGACGAGGAGGAGGAAGAGGAGGAGGGAGAGAAGGAGGAGGAUGUGGUACCACUCUACAAAACAGUAGGGAUACAUCUUGGACAGGAAGAUGGAGGGAAAAAACAGGACCUAGUGGUUGAUCAAAUAUGGAAAGAGAUGGAGGCUAAGGUUAAAGAGGAGGAAAAACCUGCAGAAGUGGAUCAAUUAAAACAGCUGGAACUAGAAGAGAGACAGGCAGAAGAUGAGAGGGAGAGAGAAAGACAAAAGGUAGUGGAGAGGGAAAGGGAGAGACAGAGAGAGGAGGAAGAGAGAAAGAGGGAAGAAGAAGAGGAGAGAAAAAGACAAAGAGAAAUGGAGAGGGAAAUGAAGAGACAGAGACAGAGAGAGGAGGAGAGGGAUAGGGAGAGACAGAGAGAUAAAGAAGAGAGAGAGAGAAAGAGGAAAGAAGAAAAGGAGAGAGAAAGACAGAUAGAACUUGAGAAGGAAAGGGAGAGACUGAGAGAGGAGGAAGAGAGAGAGAGAAAGAGGAAAGAAGAGGAGAGAGAAAGACUGAUAGAAUUUGAGAAGGAAAGGGAGAGACAGAGAGAGGAGGAUGAGAGAGAGAGAAAGAGGAAAGAAGAGGAGAGAGAAAGACUGAUAGAAUUUGAGAAGGAAAGGGAGAGACAGAGAGAUGAAGAAGAGAGAGAGAGAAAGAGGAAAGAAGAGGAGAGAGAAAGACUGAUAGAAUUUGAGAAGGAAAGGGAGAGACAGAGAGAGGAGGAAGAGAGAGAGAGAAAGAGGAAAGAAGAGGAGAGAGAAAGACUGAUAGAAUUUGAGAAGGAAAGGGAGAGACAGAGAGAGGAGGAUGAGAGAGAGAGAAAGAGGAAAGAAGAGGAGAGAGAAAGACUGAUAGAAUUUGAGAAGGAAAGGGAGAGACAGAGAGAUGAAGAAGAGAGAGAGAGAAAGAGGAAAGAAGAGGAGAGAGAAAGACUGAUAGAAUUUGAGAAGGAAAGGGAGAGACAGAGAGAGGAGGAGAGGGAUAGGGAGAGACAGAGAGAGGAGGAUGAGAGAGAGAGAAAGAGGAAAGAAGAGGAGAGAGAAAGACUGAUAGAAUUUGAGAAGGAAAGGGAGAGACAGAGAGAUGAAGAAGAGAGAGAGAGAAAGAGGAAAGAAGAGGAGAGAGAAAGACUGAUAGAAUUUGAGAAGGAAAGAGAGAGACAGAGAGAGGAGGAUGAGAGAGAGAGAAAGAGGAAAGAAGAGAAGGAGAGAGAAAGACUGAUAGAAUUUGAGAAGGAAAGGGAGAGACAGAGAGAGGAGGAUGAGAGAGAGAGAAAGAGGAAAGAAGAGAAGGAGAGAGAAAGACUGAUAGAAUUUGAGAAGGAAAGGGAGAGACAGAGAGAGGAGGAUGAGAGAGAGAGAACGAGGAAAGAAGAGAAGGAGAGAAAAAGACAGAUAGAACUUGAGAAGGAAAGGGAGAGACAGCGAGAGGAGGACGAGAGAGAGAGAAAGAGGAAAGAAGAGAAGGAGAGAGAAAGACAGAUAGAACUUGAGAAGGAAAGGGAGAGACUGAGAGAGGAGGAAGAGAGAAAGAGGAAAGAAGAGAAGGGAGAAAGACAGCGAGAAGUGGAAAGGGAAAAGGAGAGACAGGUAGAGGAAGGAGAGAGGGGGAAGCUUAGGAUGAAAGAGGAGAGAUUGAGAGAGAAGGAAAGGGAGAAACUCAAAGAAAAAGAGCAAGAAAUGGAAAUACAGAGAGCGGAGGAAAGGAUGCAGGAAGAUGAGAUAAAGAGAGAAGAAGAUCGGGAGAAAGAAGAAGCAGUGUCCCCAAUCCAAUUCAUCACUCUUAAACCUGACCAACCUCCCAAGCCAGAGCCUCCUCCCUCAACUACCGUCCCCAUCAUAGAACCAAUACCAAAAGAAGAGAAGCAGCCUCACAUCGAGGUGGUCUACGACGACUUCUCUGUCAAAGAGGAGAAGCCUCUUAUCAAGAUGGUCUAUGAUGAUUUCUCCGUCAAGCCCCGGCGGUGGGGGUCUCAGGCCAGGUUCCUUGCUGACCGUGCCCAGGUCAAGUCACCCUCCCCUGGAACAGAGGAGCCUGAGUCACUGGGCUCCUCGGAAUCCGACCUUCAGAGAACCGUUGUUGACACCCAGGAGCCAGCCCAAGAGAGUCCAGUCGAACCUCACCCAGCUGAGAGGGAUCUAGAGGGGGGAGUCCCCACCCCAAAGGAUGGAACAGAGAAUAAGAAGGAGAAGAAAAAGAAGGAGGAAGAGAAGUAUAAUGAGGAGGGCACCAGCAUGGAUAUGGAGGAGGUAAGCAAGGGGAAUAUCAACUGGGGAGUAAAUAUGAAAAUUAUAACACAAAAAGGGUAUUUAAUGGCCUAG